Molecule: ribosomal RNA, 856 nt
Filed under: Staphylococcus hominis
Lineage: Bacteria; Bacillati; Bacillota; Bacilli; Caryophanales; Staphylococcaceae
Description: bacterial SSU rRNA
Rfam family: Bacterial small subunit ribosomal RNA
Source: RNAcentral
UCAUGGCUCAGGAUGAACGCUGGCGGCGUGCCUAAUACAUGCAAGUCGAGCGAACAGACGAGGAGCUUGCUCGUUUGACGUUAGCGGCGGACGGGUGAGUAACACGUGGGUAACCUACCUAUAAGACUGGGAUAACUUCGGGAAACCGGAGCUAAUACCGGAUAAUAUUUCGAACCGCAUGGUUCGAUAGUGAAAGAUGGCUCUGCUAUCACUUAUAGAUGGACCUGCGCCGUAUUAGCUAGUUGGUAAGGUAACGGCUUACCAAGGCAACGAUACGUAGCCGACCUGAGAGGGUGAUCGGCCACACUGGAACUGAGACACGGUCCAGACUCCUACGGGAGGCAGCAGUAGGGAAUCUUCCGCAAUGGGCGAAAGCCUGACGGAGCAACGCCGCGUGAGUGAUGAAGGUCUUCGGAUCGUAAAACUCUGUUAUUAGGGAAGAACAAACGUGUAAGUAACUGUGCACGUCUUGACGGUACCUAAUCAGAAAGCCACGGCUAACUACGUGCCAGCAGCCGCGGUAAUACGUAGGUGGCAAGCGUUAUCCGGAAUUAUUGGGCGUAAAGCGCGCGUAGGCGGUUUUUUAAGUCUGAUGUGAAAGCCCACGGCUCAACCGUGGAGGGUCAUUGGAAACUGGAAAACUUGAGUGCAGAAGAGGAAAGUGGAAUUCCAUGUGUAGCGGUGAAAUGCGCAGAGAUAUGGAGGAACACCAGUGGCGAAGGCGACUUUCUGGUCUGUAACUGACGCUGAUGUGCGAAAGCGUGGGGAUCAAACAGGAUUAGAUACCCUGGUAGUCCACGCCGUAAACGAUGAGUGCUAAGUGUUAGGGGGUUUCCGCCCCUUAGUGCUGCAAGCU